Molecule: unclassified non-coding RNA, 191 nt
Filed under: uncultured Glomus
Lineage: Eukaryota; Fungi; Glomeromycota; Glomeromycetes; Glomerales; Glomeraceae
Description: partial internal transcribed spacer 2
Source: RNAcentral
AAAUAAAAAUCGGUGUUGUUGCUACCCGUAGUGGUGUUAAUGCAUCGGAAUUGAGUUGUCUUUACCUUUUUUGGUUUAAGUGACUUAAAAUUAUGUACGAUUUUUGAACGUAUUUAAAUUAUUUACGUAUGUUCAUAAUAUCAAAUAUUAGAUGCGGUCAUCCUCAUGAUUCACAUCUAUAAUUUUUCAUU